CGUAGGUGGCAAGCGUUGUCCGGAUUUAUUGGGUUUUAAAGGGUGCGUAGGCGGUCUUAUAAGUCAGUGCUGAAAUAUCCCGGCUUAACCGGGAGGGUGGCAUUGAUACUGUAGGACUUGAGUAAAGUUGAGGUUGGCGGAAUUGACGGUGUAGCGGUGAAAUGCUUAGAUAUCGUCAAGAACACCGAUAGUGUAGACAGCUAACUAAGCUUUAACUGACGCUGAGGCACGAAAGUGUGGGGAUCAAACAGGAUUAGAUACCCUGGUAGUCCACACUGUAAACGUUGAAGACUCGCUGUUGGCGAUACACAGUCAGCGGCUGAGAGAAAUCGUUAAGUCUUCCACCUGGGGAGUACGCCGGCAACGGUG
RNAcentral lists this ribosomal RNA (369 nucleotides) under uncultured organism. RNAcentral's name for it is "bacterial SSU rRNA". It matches the Rfam family "Bacterial small subunit ribosomal RNA", at positions 526 to 896 of the family's 1533-position model. The record is from RNAcentral.